GAUGAACGCUGGCGGCGUGCCUAAUACAUGCAAGUCGAGCGAACAGACGAGGAGCUUGCUCCUCUGACGUUAGCGGCGGACGGGUGAGUAACACGUGGAUAACCUACCUAUAAGACUGGGAUAACUUCGGGAAACCGGAGCUAAUACCGGAUAAUAUAUUGAACCGCAUGGUUCAAUAGUGAAAGACGGUUUUGCUGUCACUUAUAGAUGGAUCCGCGCCGCAUUAGCUAGUUGGUAAGGUAACGGCUUACCAAGGCGACGAUGCGUAGCCGACCUGAGAGGGUGAUCGGCCACACUGGAACUGAGACACGGUCCAGGCGCCUACGGGAGGCAGCAGUAGGGAAUCGUCCGCAAUGGGCGAAAGCCUGACGGAGCAACGCCGCGUGAGUGAUGAAGGUCUUCGGAUCGUAAAACUCUGUUAUUAGGGAAGAACAAAUGUGUAAGUAACUAUGCACGUCUUGACGGUACCUAAUCAGAAAGCCACGGCUAACUACGUG
Molecule: ribosomal RNA, 497 nt
Filed under: uncultured bacterium
Lineage: Bacteria
Description: partial 16S ribosomal RNA
Rfam family: Bacterial small subunit ribosomal RNA
Source: RNAcentral